GGCGCUGCGUAUGCGGCCCGCCACGGUUACGUGUGUGAGUGCCGCCGUGCGCAUGCCAUCCUUCUAGCUUCACUCAGUCUCUUCAUUGAGCACUGGGUACGGUUAGAUCGGUUACUUUGAAAAAAUUAGAGUGUUUAAAGCAGGCUUUUGCUAUGAAUACAUUAGCAUGGAAUAAUAAUCUAGGGCUUCGGUUCUAUUUUGUUGGUUUUGCGUACUGAAGUA
Molecule: ribosomal RNA, 222 nt
Filed under: uncultured fungus
Lineage: Eukaryota; Fungi
Description: partial small subunit ribosomal RNA
Rfam family: Eukaryotic small subunit ribosomal RNA (bases 103-222)
Source: RNAcentral